UACGUAGGGGGCUAGCGUUGCCCGGAAUCAUUGGGCGUAAAGAGCGUGUAGGCGGUCCGGUAAGUCCGCUGUGAAAGUCGGGGGCUCAACCCUCGAAUGCCGGUGGAUACUGUCGGGCUAGAGUGCGGAAGAGGCGAGUGGAAUUCCUGGUGUAGCGGUGAAAUGCGCAGAUAUCAGGAGGAACACCUAUUGCGAAGGCAGCUCGCUGGGACGUAACUGACGCUGAGACGCGAAAGCGUGGGGAGCAAACAGG
This 253-nucleotide ribosomal RNA is filed under the name uncultured bacterium. RNAcentral describes it as "partial 16S ribosomal RNA". It matches the Rfam family "Bacterial small subunit ribosomal RNA", at positions 524 to 776 of the family's 1533-position model. The record is from RNAcentral.